UUAAAAUAUAUCUGCAAGUAGAUGCCUGAUACGGCCACAAGCCAAUACAUAGUAACUGAAUCCGAUUAAGCGUGUACGCACUUGCAAAGUCGCGUCUGUAUAUUUUCAACGUCUCUUCAUUCCUGAUCGAGAUGCGAGACAGAGCGCUUCUCCAACGACACGUCCCUGAUGUUCAAAUGGUGUUAAAACAUUCGAUGAAAAUACCUACAAAGGUUGCUACAUAGAAAAGUUAACUUCUGAAUACUUUUAAAUACUGUAUACUUUUAAAUAUAUAUUAAGUAUUAUAUCAUUAACAACAUGGAUGUAAUCGUGACAGACUAGCAAAACCUUGUAAAGACGGAACGAACAAACCACCAAUGACGAUUGUGCAAUGUCGUAUGCUCCUUUGCAUCAAAUACAAUAGUAACUUCUGUGUUUUCAACGGAGCUACGUACCAAUGUGCAUUGUAUCUGUACAAUUUAUAGAACGAGAAAUAAGUUGUAAUACAAAAUUUUAAUAUUA
Long non-coding RNA from Ooceraea biroi (clonal raider ant), 501 nucleotides. RefSeq lists it as uncharacterized. NCBI's taxonomy places the organism in Eukaryota, Metazoa, Arthropoda, Insecta, Hymenoptera, Formicidae. The record is from RefSeq and is a predicted model, not a curated record.